Molecule: long non-coding RNA, 7270 nt
Filed under: Homo sapiens (human)
Lineage: Eukaryota; Metazoa; Chordata; Mammalia; Primates; Hominidae
Description: non-protein coding lnc-SBF2-1:5
Source: RNAcentral
ACUUCUCUCCUGGGGGCCAAACUGGGAAGGAAAGGCUAAGCCACGGGGCUUCCUGCUUCGUGCUUGUGGGUUUCUGGGGUCCUACUAACCACUCCUCUAAUCGAAUGUCCUGAAGCCCAGCGACUCGACGGAGAGGCCAAAGGUGCGAGACCACUAGCCAAACAGGCUUCUAGUCCUCACCUCCCGGCAAUUCGCUGUGUGAAGGUGGGCGAGUCAUGUCCCAUCUCUCGAGUCCCCAUCUUAGAGCCGGUCCCCAGCAGACCUUUAAGCUUCCUUCCUACUCUGCCAUAUGGCUCUGAGCUCCGGUGCAAAGGCGGCUGGGCAGUGGGUCGCGCGGACCUUGCCCAGAGUGGUCUGUCUGGGCCGCGCACUGCUGGCUUAGCUGCCUUUUCACUCUCGGGACUCAACAGUGGACAUUGCACCUGGGGAAGAAAUGGCCGCGCGGAAGUUAUUUAAGGACUCUUCCUGGAAGGAGUCACCUGAGCGGACCUGAAUUCCAUCUGAGGACGGAGGACAGAUUCCGGGCCCUGACCCUGGCCCUGCUCUUCGCGCAGAUCCAGGACUGGCUAUCAGUCGCUCUGAGGAUGCGACCUACUUGUCGCCAGCUUCCACUUGGUUCCGCGCCAGGACAGGUUUUACUUUCAUUUCUCCCGCGCGCGCCUCCGACUGCUGGGGAGGUCAAGGACAGCUAGGCGUCGGCCCACGGCCAGGGAAGGUCCCGUGGUCUGGACUCGUUCCUUCCAGUCUCCACCAGUCCUGGGGGGUGGGGCGCGGCGGGGGUGUUCGUUCUCCAGAGAACUCUGCGACUGUACCUCGCUGCCACCUCGCUGCCUCCUCGCUGCCCUUUACAAAAGCUCGUGAUUCCGUGGGGGAAACUUGAGCUGUGGCUCUGCCAGGAGGAUCGCGAAGCAAGUGCCCUUGGUUCAAACUCCUCUUUGAGCUGCAGGCAGCUUCAAAAAGGAAAGCAAGCCCAGGAGUGUAGGGAGACUCAGAGGCUAGGCUCUGCCAGCCUCGGGUGCCUAUGCCAGCAACCUCUUGGCUGUGACAAGAAUUCCCACCUGAGAGUCUUGGCAUGCACUUUAUCAGCCUGGUGCACUUUGCCGCUCUGGCACUUAGAGAUCUGUCACUUGAGAACCAAGUCAAUUCUUUAAGUAAAAUCUUGGAUUGGCAGCUCAAAGUAUUUUCCUAGAAAGCCCCUAUCUUGGAGUGAGUGAGUGUGUGCGCGAGCGCGCACCCCGCUUGCAUGGGUGAGUAGCAGGGGCUAGAGUGCUCCCCAAAGCUUCGUGGGUUUAAGUCGAAAAAAGAUAAGGAGUUUGUUAAAUCUGGGCAUCUAUGUUUUUUCUCGUGAAAUCUCGAGUUUGUUUAAUUAAUCAUCGUUAACGACAAAAAAAAAUCACUAGAAUGCAUUUCUGGUUCAGUGGUUCUAUGGAGAAGGAAAUGCUGCAGUGGGAGUUCUGAUCCUGGCAAUUUAUUAACAUAAGUUGCAUCCAUUCAAGUGGCAGUGAUUGUAGAUUCACGUUGAGCAAGGACAGUACAAGGAAGGAAGGAAGUGAAGGAAGAAACAUCUUUAAAUUUCUGGCAAGAAAAGAGAAAAGAAAAAGAAAAAAAAAUCCUUGUUAAUGAAGAUCUACUUUUUUUGUGUGCUCCAGAAUUUCAAAAGGUCAGAUUACAAAUAAACCUCCAAACCACUGUAAUAAAUGUGUACAUCCUGACAUUAGGGAGACACACAUACACAUAUGCUAAAGGGUUUUUGCGUAAUGGUGUUUCAACUUCUUCACAUUCCAAUUGAAUGAUUUUUAGGCCCUAUAUCCAAGCCUGAUUCUUAGUAAAGUUUGGAGUUUAAAAAAAUAUGUGGUAGUGGUUUCUCAGCUAGCACUGUGGACACAGUUCUUAAAGCCAGAGUGGCCAUACUCAGGUCUUUCAGAGAAGCAUUGAAAAAUAAUAAAUAUCAAUGAUAUUAAUAAGAAUAACUAAAAUGUGAGUAGCUAAGUGCAUUGCAUAAUUAUCUCAGAUGCCUCCUUUAUCAAACAGGAAAUUUUAUGAUGCAUUUAUUAUUAAUAUAGUUCAAAAUGUCUUUUAAGCUGAGGACUUGUUUACAAAGUUCACUUGAAAACAAAGUUCAAGAUGCAUCCUGAAGUCAUAACACAAAGUGAUUUAGAGAAAGAACACAAUCAGCCUUGUGGAUUUGAUCACUUACAAGGAGAAGUAAAGCAGGAUACAAAGCCCAGGGCACUUUUUUGGGAUCUCUGACUUCUCUAAGGACCUAAUAAAAAUAUAGAUCCUUUCCAGAAAAAUGAACAUGUACAUAAACCGAUUAAAGUAUAAAAUAGGCAUACAGUUCCGGGAGGUUGACCAAGUUUAAAACCCUGACACAGAAUAAAAAACACUGUUUCCAUAUUUUAAAUUUCUGUCUGGUUUAUAGUGGUAAGGGCAAGGAGGACAGUUAACCUCCCUCUUUAGGGCAUAAUAUUUUCCAGAGCAUCAGCAUAAAGAAAAGUAAUGCGUUUGCUGCCUCAUUUUUGUGCUCCUGUACAAAACAGGCAGAGAGUAACAGUCAGUUCUUGUACAUGGUAAAGCCAGAAGGCAAACCUCCCUGAAGCUUAAAUAAGGUAAAUUACUGCAGAACAAAUGAAAGAGAAGAGAUGGUCCAGUACAGUGGCUCGUGCCUGUAAUCCUAGCACUUUGGGAGGCUGAGGCAAGUGGAUCUCUUGAGCUCAGGAGUUCAAGACCAGCCUGGCAACAUGGCAAAAAUCCAUCCCUACAAAGAAAAAAAAAAAAAAAGAGAGAGAGAGAAGAGAAAGUAGUAAACCUAAAGAAGCUUGUUACAAUAAUACCUGUAACAGGACAAAAUGAAAUUACUUCAAGAGAAAUUUGCUACAGAGGGCACAAUAAAUGGCAUUAAUGAAUGGAUGAUAAAAGAGAUGAUUAGGCCAUUUGAAUCAUCCAUAGCCAAAGAGAAUGGUGUUAAUGAAAGCAACCAUCAUGCUACUUGUCUCCAGAUAGGGAUCCUGUGAUAUCAGAUUAGAAGCACCUGGAAAGAAGCAAUUAUUUUAUAUAUGUAUAUAUAUUUAUAUAUAUUUUUUUCUUUUUAUAGAGAUGUGGUUUCAUCAUGUUGCCCACGCUGGUCUUGAACUCCUGAUCUCAAGAGAUCCACUCGCCUUGGCCUACCAAAGUGCUAGGAUUACAGGUAUGAGCCACUGUGCUCAGCCAAGAAGCAAUUCUGAUUUAUAAGCCUGAAUGAAUUGAUAGUUUUUUCAUUCUUUCAACAAAUAUUUACUGAUUAUAUAUUAUAUACCCAGCACUGUGCUAAGUUCUCAACAUACAGUAAUCACCAAUGCAGUCAUCAACAAACUUACCCUCAACGAGCUUACAGCCUAGUGACGUAGCCAGAUAUAAACAAAUCCUUAUCAGAAUUAUGUAUUUACAUGAUUAUAAACUGUGUUAAGUAUUCUGAAGAAAAAGCAAGACUAGGGGGAUCUAAUAUUCGAAAUGGAGGAAACAGCAUGUGCAAACACUCAGAGAUGGGAAAGAACUUGGUACAUUAGAAAAAAUGAAAGGAGUCCUGUUUGAUAGGAAUGCAUAGAAUGAUAGAGAAAAGAGGCCUGAAAUGAGAUUAAAGAGGUCAUCAGGGUCAGAGUAAAUAGGACCCUUUCCGACAUGAAGAUUUUGCACUUUAUUUAUGGUGACAUGGAAAACUAUUGACAGGUUUGAAGACAGGAGAGACAUGAUCUGAUAUACAUUUAUUUAAACAAUCGUUUUGGCUAUGGAAUGUGGUAGAUAGAUUAGAAAGGUGCAAGAAAGGAAGCAGCACGGUGGUGGUACUCUGGAGAGACUGCAGAGAGUCUAGUCCCCCCAUAACAUUUAUUAUACCCCCUCCCCACAUACACAUACUCAUUCCAUCCUAAAGUUCACCAGCUUCACUGACAUACACUCUGUUCAGUAGCACACGGCCUGCUCUCAGAAGAGCCCACACUUGGUGGAAUGCUCUGCUGAAGCUGUUUUGAAAUUCUCCAACAUUUCUGAACAGGCAGUCCUACAUUUUCAUUUUGCACUGGACUCCACAUAUUAUGUAGCCAGUCCUGCUCAUCAAACAUGUGAUCUAAGUAAAAGUAGCUUGUAAACUCUUACAGUACCUAUAUAUACUGUAGCUGCUAAUGUCAGGGGUACUUCAAAUGAAUGUUAAGAUUCAACCAUUCAUCUCAUCACACAUGGACCGCAACUGCAGGACACUUCCUUUUUUUUUUUUUUUUUUUUUGAGAUGGACUCUUGCUCUGUUGCCCAGGCUGGAGUGCAGUGGUGCCAUCUCGACCCACUGCAAGCUCUGCCUCCUGGGUUCACGCCAUUCUUUUGCCUCAGCCUCCUGAGUAGCUGGGACUACAGGUGCCCGCCACCACUCCUGGCUAAUUUUUUGUAUUUUUAGUAGAGACAGGGUUUCACCGUGUUAGCCAGGAUGAUCUCGAUCUGCUGACCUCAUGAUCCGCCCAACUUGGCCUCCCAAAGUGCUGCGAUUACAGGCGUGAGCCACCACACCUGGCCAGGACACUUUCUACGUCAUCUAUGAAGCCUUUUCUUUGCACCCCAAACACACACUCAAGGUAGAAAUGGUGUGUUUGCUAUACAAAUUUAAUUUUGAGACAGGUUCAAUAACCUGCUUACUGUCCUUAACUUUUACCUAUAUAGAAAGUUUGAAACCAUCGGUGAAGCUGGGAAAACAGUUAAGAACCUAUUGCAAUAAUAAAGGUAGAAGGUGAUAACGGCUCAAACUAGUGGGGUGGCAGUGAGGGUGGAGAGAAGCGGACAUAUUUGGGAAGUAGGAACAAUAGGACUGAGUGAUGAAUGUGGGGCUGAGAGGCAGCUGUCAAGGGUAAGAUUCAUUAAAUUUCUUGCUUAGGGAACUAAAUGGUUGAAAAUAUAGCAAUGGAUCAGGGAAUUUUCCACCACAGCUGCAUAGUCUCCUUUGUUAUGCUUUGGUAGAGACGAUCUGAAGAGGCCUCAGCCCUGCCUGGUGAUGUUUGCUCAAGUCUGACUCUCAUACUGCCUCCUUGAACUACUGUGGCUAACCACAGCAAGCACUUGAAAUGACUGUACAGAUCAAACCACUUACUCCGCAAUAGCCCACUAGGGGCAAUGGGCUGAUAAGCCUUGCUCACUGAUAAUUAGCUCUAUUUUGUCUUUUUUAAAAUUUUUUAUUUUAAUUUUUUGAACGGGAGUUUCACUCUUGUUGCCCAGGCUGGAGUGCAAUGGCGCGAUCUUGGCUCACUGCAACCUCUGCCUCCUGGGUUCAAGCAAUUCUCUUGCCUCAGCCUCCCAAGUAGCUGGGAUUACAGGCACCUGCCACCAUGCCCAGCUAAUUUUUGUGUUUUUAGUAGAGACAGGGUUUCACCAUGUUGGUCAGGCUGGUCUUGAACUCCUGACCUUAGGUGAUCCACCUGCCUCGGCCUCCCAAAGUGCUGGGAUUACAGGUGUGAGCCACCGCAUUCCAUCUAUUUCGUCUUCUAAAGCAAAAAAGAAAGGUAUCUGCCACAUACACAUCAUGAUAGUGUUACAUACCCUUCUUCCCUUCCUGCUCCCAUCAGCCUUCAGGAAAACAAAUCUGGGCUUGCUUUACUCUCUCUCUCUUUGGUGAAAGGUGAUGGUGGUUAUUGUAGGGGAUGGUCUGGCUUUCAGCCAACCUCAGUAAUCAGGCUGCCUUGUCAGGGCUUAUCAGUUUCAACAGGCUGGCAGCUGUUGGCUGAGAAGCAAAGCACAGCUUUAGUGUAUACAAAAUAUGUUCACAUGUAUAUACAAACACACAGUGCCUUUCUACAUGUACCUAGGAUAUGUUAAAAUCUCUGUGUGACAAAAUGGGCAUUUGCAAAUGGACUGGAAGUCUACUUAUGACAGUAACAGAUGAAAUAUGCCUAAAAGCAGAAUAGCAUUUGAUUCUAGGCUUAAAAACAAUAAACUUUGAUUUUAAAAAAUUAAAAUAAUUUAAAUGAGUACUUGCAAAUGAAAUAAAAGCCAAGACAUUUAAAAGGUAAAACAAGACCCCUUACCACUACAAAAUUAACUCAAAAUGGGUCAAAGUACUAAAGAGCUAAAACUAUGAAGGAAACCAGUAAAUCUUCAUCUCACCUUUAAUAUGGCAAUAAUUUUUUAGAUAUAACACUAAAAGCAUAGAAACAAACUAAAAAAGUGGACUUUAUCAAAAUUAAAAACUUUUUUGAGCCAAAGGACAUUAUCAAGAAAAUGAAGUCUGGGUGUGGAAGCUCAUGCCUCUAAUCCUAGUACCUUGGGAGGGCUAGGUGGGAGGAUUGCCUGAGGACAGGAGGUUAAGACCAGCCUGGGCAACAUCAUGAUACAACAUCUCUACAUAAAAAUAAAAUGAAAAAUAAAAUAAAAAUAGGAAAUAUUUGGGGGGGGGAAUAGGGCAUAACAAUUUUAAAAAGAAAAUGAAAAGACAACGUACAGAAUGGGAAAAUAUCUGCAAAUCAUAUAUCUGACAAGGACUAGUAUCCAGAAUAUAUAAAGAACUCUUACAACUCAACCUCAAAAAGACAAAGAAUCAAUUAAAAAAUGGGCAAAGGACUUGAAUAGACAUUUCUCCAAAGAAGAUUUAGCAAUGGCCAAUAAACACAUGAAAAGAUCCUCAACAUCAUUAGUCUUUAGGGAAAGGCAAAACAGGACCACAAUGAGAUAUCACUUCACACUAAGAUAGCUAUAACAAAACAUAAACAACAGGAAAACAAGAGUUGACAAAGAUGCAGAGAAAUCAGAACCCUAGUGCAUUGCUGGUGAAAAUGUAAAAUGAUGCAGCCACUGUGGAAAACAGUAGUAACAGAACUACUUAAUCCAGUAAUUCCAAUCCCAAGAAUAUAUCCCCAAAAUUGAAAACAGGUACUCAAAUACAUGUACAUGCAUGUUUGAAGCAGCACUAUUCACAAUGCCAAAAGGUGGAAACAACCCAUAUGUCCAUAUGGGUUGUUCCAGAUAAACAAAAUAUGGUAUAUACAUAUGAUAUGGUUUGGCUGUGUCCUCACCCAAAUUUCAUCUUGAAUUGUACCCCAUAAUUCCCACCUGUCAUGGGAGGGAUCCGGUGGAAGGUAAUUGAAUCAUGGGGGCGGGUCUUUCUCCUGCUGUUGUGGUGAUAGUGAAUAAGUUUUAUGAGAUUUGAUGGUAUAAAGGAGAGUUCUGCAUAAGCUCUCUUGUCUGCCGCUUUGCUCUCCUUGCCUUCCGCCAUGUGGAACUGUGAGUCAAUUAAACCUCUUCUCUUUAUAAAUUACCUAGUCUC